Long non-coding RNA from Ctenopharyngodon idella (grass carp), 5274 nucleotides. RefSeq lists it as uncharacterized. The record is from RefSeq and is a predicted model, not a curated record. The transcript has 2 exons. NCBI's taxonomy places the organism in Eukaryota, Metazoa, Chordata, Actinopteri, Cypriniformes, Xenocyprididae.
UGCGCGUGACAUUUCAUGAGUCACAUUUACUGGCAUUCCAAAGCCACGUGAUUUUUCCCAGAGCAAUGCAUACAGUGUCCAGUAAUGAUGGGAAAAACAAAAAAUUCCCAUUUGAUAGUGUCCUCAUCAUGCCCAUUAUUUAUUUAUUCAUUUAUUUUGAAAGUGCUUUUCAUUUCUAGACGUUUCAUUCCUGAAUCAUGUCCUUCAGAGGGUGUUUCAGGGUGAUAUCACAUAUCACAUGUCAUCACAUGUCAGAAAGCAUGCAGUACUUUUUAAUUGGCACAUUUAAAAGAAUCUUAAAUAUAUGUAUACUCAUGUAAAAUUAAAAGAUAUCAAAUAUUAACAUUGAUGUGAGUGAAUAUUUAUGAUAUCUGUGAUGUUCUGUUUUAUUUGUUGUGUGUAUUGGAUGGUGCUGCACUGCCUAACAUGUGCUGAACAGACGAGUCAAGCAACAGCACAUCUCAAUUCUCACAAAAGACACGUUCAGUUUCCUCGUGUCAUUCCGAGUACAUUCUUUUAAGGAAGCCUGGCAUAUCCGUCUCCACACAAGAAUGCAAGUCCAUUCUUUGCAUUCAUAGAAUUGAGAAACUGAUGUUCUUCCUGGAUUCUUCAAGUGCUUUCAUUGUUGAGCAGAAGUUCAGGAAUCUAAAAUAUGAACAAGCAUGUCAUCUUUGAGCUCCAUAAGAUGGCAGCAAACAAACAUGCCUGUCAACAUCAGUGAGCUUUCAUUAGUCUCAAUUCAAGCAGCACGUCAUUAGGAGAGUAUUUGAAGCAGUUAUAAGCUAAUUUUAUUUAUUUAACAAUGAAUAAAGUUAAUUUAUGCAUUUACAGUGAUUUUUUUGUUGCAGGUCAGUGUUAAAGUCCACACGAAAGUCUUUUCUUCUCUAUCGUGACAUAUAUCCCAGUGAAACGACUUCGCAAACAAGAACAAAUGUAGGGCGGGGCUUGAUUUUGUCUGUGGGGAAUUGAUUGGAUGGUUUUGGUUUGCUAUUGGUGGAUCUCAUGUGAGUGACAUGUUGCCCCGCCCUCAUCAUCAGAGAAGAGAUUCUGAUUCAAGAUUAUGAGGAACAUGAAUUUAAAACAAUAAUGAUGUGCACCGAUAAAUCAUUUAUGAUAAACAAUAAGCAUUAGCCUGAUUUCAUAGUGACUUUAACUCUAGCAUGUGUUGCUAGGAUUCAUGUUUUGUACUAUUGUUCAAAAACCCAUAGAAACUGACACACGAUCCGGUUAGAGAGGUGUUCGAGCAGCAUUCUGAUCGUUCCGAAGCAAUCCUGUGUCUGACUCAAGAGUUGAAGGGGAGAGGCAUUUAAAUGCAAAUUAGUUUAGGAUAAUUUCGGAUAAAACAAUUGAUCGAACAGAUUCAAACAGAGAUCAUUUAGACUCGUUAUGUUCCAAACACCAUGAUGACCAAAUGUUGAAGAAACAUUCAUAUUUGUUGUUUUAAUGUAUUUAAGGGUUAAACUUCAUCUCAAAAGCAGUUGUGAAAGAGUUAACUCUGUCUUUGACAUGACGGAAUCUUUGGUCGAGGUCUGAACUCUCUUUCAUGUUGGAGAUCAUUGUUAUAAUACAUGCAUUUAGAUAAAACUGAUGUGCAUCACAAUCUUAUCACACACACAUACACACACACCCUCAACUGUCUCUGUUACACAAAGACUCAAACACGCCUCAGUCACGUAACAAAACCAACAUACCAGCACACAUAUUUUCUAGGUCGCUCUGAAUGAAUAAAUGUCUUAUAUUUGAUGUGGAAUGCAAAUUCAUUUACAGCGCCUCUAAUGCAAAUCAUCAGAUGCUCUAAUCAAAUGACCUAUGACCCGUCGGUGAAGGUUUAUUAGUGAUGGAUGACUGUGUAAUAUUAAAACAACUGGAGAAGAUCAUUUACCUCUUUCCCUGCCAGCAAUUUUUAAAAGAGUUGUCAGUCAGCACCAGCAGUUUUGAUCAUUUUCAUAAACUUUCAUGGCCCCUAGAAUAUUUUGUUGUAUGAAUAUCUGAACAUGCAAUAUAUCAAACGAAAGAACAGAGCCUCUGCUUUUAAACAAAUUUUAUUCUAGCUUCAUGCAUUCUUUUUUUACCAACACUUGAAUGUGGGUAAGUGUCAUAAAAAAAGCAACAUUUUAUUAAAAAAAUCUGAGAUCUGUCAAAGACUUCAUCCGGAUGGGACGAUCAGAGCACAGAUGGAGUAAAACGAGUCCAUCAACACCUCCAAAGCUUCUCAGUCGUUUCCUCUUCAUGGGUUCAACAUUUCAUUCAGUAACGACAGGCAGUUUUGAUUAGUUUAAUGUUUGAUGGUCAUGUUAAUAAUUGACGUGUGUCAGCAACGCUUCUAUCGCUUGUUUCUGCUUCUUCACCUGUGUUUUGAUCCAGAGAUUCUGUACUCCUUGAGAAGAUGCGUAACAGCGCCCCGUACCAUAUAACAGUGAAAACAUGGAAAGCCAUUGAUUCCAUCAAUGGUGUGAAAAGAGUUAAAAAAAACAAAUGCUACUUUUAAUUAAUACGGAGCCCUGCACAUGACAUGCAAGAAAAAAAAUCGAGGGAACGAAAUAGUAAAUCGUGUGCAUGAUUUAGCCUAAUAUUUUCUUCCUGCAUGUCAUGUCCGGGCUCCGUAAAUUAACAUUCAGUUUGAAGUAGUUUUAUGUAGCUUUGAAACUUGAAGUUUAAAGCCCAUGCGCUUUCAGGCCAAUCAAGAAUCAUGAAUCAUGAAUUUGCACAUUGUUAGCAUGUUUUAACAUGCAGGUAACAUGAUUUAUCAGAUUGCUAGCAUGUUUAUAACAUGAAUAAGCAAAAUGCUAGCAUGUAUGAGCAUCUUGCCAGUCUCUUUCUAGCAUAGAUUAUCAAAUUGCUAGCAUGUUUUAGUGUUUCUCACACGAUUGCUUGCACGUUUUUAUUUUAUAUAGCACAAAAUGUAUCGCUAGCAUGUUUCUAUCAUGAAUUAGCAUGCUGCUAGCCUGUGUCUAGCGUGAAUUAGAACAAUGCUAGCAUGUUGCAUGAUUUACCACGUUGCUAGAAUGAUACUAGCAUGAAUUUGCACAUUGUUAGCAUGUUUUAACAUGCUGCUAACAUGAUUUAGCAGAUUGCUAGUAUGUUUAUAACAUGAAUAAGCAAAAUGCUAGCAUGUAUGAGCAUCUUGCCAGUCUCUUUCUAGCAUAAAUUAUCAAAUUGCUAACAUGUUUUAGUGUUUCUCACACGAUUGCUUGCACGUUUUUAUUUUAUAUAGCACAAAAUGUAUCGCUAGCAUGUUUCUAUCAUGAAUUAGCAUGCUGCUAGCUUGUCUAGCAUGAAUUAGAACAAUGCUAGCAUGUAUGAGCGUUGCCAGUCUCUUUCUAACACAGAUUAUCAAAUUGCUAGCAUGUUUUAGUGUUUCCCAUACGAUUGCUUGCACAUUUUUUAUUUUAUAUAGCACAAAAUGCUACAAUGCUUGUGAGGAUCUACCAGACUCAAUAGACGAGAAUAGGUGUAACUCAGUUACAGGUAAUUUAGUGAACAGUAUGUGCAGGAACAGGCUAAACAGGCAAGUGAACUGGAAGUAGAAGAGUUCCAUAUAACAUGCAGAUAAGUGACUAAGUAUGUCUUAUCUCUCUAGGGCCCAAAGAGCACGAACACACACACACACACACACACACACACACACACACACACACACACACGAACACACACACACACAGAACUGCAGAUACACACACACUGUAAACCCUGAUAAGUUCAGACUACUCAACAUUUUUGUAGACACCGAUUAUCUAAAAAAAAAAAUGUUCACCGUAGUCAACCGGAUCCGGGCCGUAUCCAGGUGAGACCAAGGACCUGCGCCUUGACACGACCACAACGCAGCCCUGAAGUAUCAGCAGAGAUUGAGUCAACUAGAUCAUCCCCUGUGAAGGCCUCAUCGACACGACAGCCACGACACAGUUCCUCAACAACCGUGAUGAAUAUGAUCCUCAAUUGGAUGGAACUGGAAUAAAUAUUUUGAAUGUUGCGAUCCUGUCGGACUUAUGAUAGCAACCUGAAUCGUAACAAAGCACUGUUGGCCAGAGGAGAACUGGCACCCCGACUAAGCCUGGUUUCUCCCAAGGUUUUUUUCUCCAUUUAAACACCUAUUUGCCACUUGUCUGCCACCUGAUGUCACCUGAUGGAGUUUGGGUUCCUUGCCGCUGUCGCCUCUGGCUUGCUUAGUUGGGGACACUUGACAUUUGACUUGACAUUUGAUAUUCAACAGUGCUUUGAUCUGCCUGCAUUGACACUAUUCUUUAAGAGCUGCUGUGCAGCCUAACAAUGUACCAGUUAUCAAUGUAAAGCUGCUUUGACACAAUCUACAUUGUAAAAAGCGCUAUAUAAAUAAAGGUGACUUGACUUGACUUGACUAGUCGGGGACACUUAAUAUUCAACAAUAUUACUGAUCUGCCUGCAUUCACUCUAUUGUAUGUGAACUGAACUGAGCUGGACGAUGACAUCACUGUUUUCUCCAGAGCUGCUGUAUAGAUAAAUGAACUAAAUUAAUGAUUUUCACAAUGGAAUGAAUCAACACUGAACUUACUUAAGCUGGACAAUGACACUAUUUUCUUCUAGAGCUGCUGUACAGCCAAAAUUAUGUUCCUGUUAUCACUGUAAAGCUGCUUUGACACAAUCUGCAUUGUUAAAAGCGCUUUAUAAAUAAAGGGUGACUUGACUUGACAAUGAUACUAAAAUAACACUGAUUCACGUCACACUGCGUACAACAAUUGUUAUUACUAUAGGAACAUAAUUCAAAUGUUCCAUGAGUGAAACGCGGUUGAUCUGUUAUGAAACAUCUGGGUCAGCAUGAUCUCUGACAUCAGUUCUUUAUGUCCCUCCGUUACCAUGGCAGCAGUUUAUGUUUAUGGGGUGUGAGUCUUGAUGGGUGUGGGACUGUCACAGAAUCAGCUGAGCACAUUAUUUAAGAUAUCAAAACCUGGCUCUAAAAUAAUGUCUAUGAAUUUAAAAAAAGAUCAAAGCUGUAUUUUAGUAGAGUUUAAUAGAGUUCGGGUAGGUUCGAGCACGGCUGAGCGUAAAGACUAAUGAUACGUAUGGAAAGUCCCCGAAAACACCAAACGGUUAAGACCAGGGCUAGUUCGAGUUAUGGUUAAAUAUGGAAAUACUCGGGUGUGUAGGUGCUUUUUCUCUUCCUGUUGGCAUUCUGCCGAAUCCUCUCAAGGGAAAAAGGCCUAAAUUUAAGAUUGAUGUAUUUGAAUUGCAUAUAAAAUUUCCAUACAUUUGAAUCACACAGUUUUAACAUAAACAAACUAAUAAACUUCAUGUGAUGAA